Rhopalosiphum padi (bird cherry-oat aphid) is the source of this 567-nucleotide long non-coding RNA. RefSeq lists it as uncharacterized. The record is from RefSeq and is a predicted model, not a curated record. NCBI's taxonomy places the organism in Eukaryota, Metazoa, Arthropoda, Insecta, Hemiptera, Aphididae. The transcript is spliced from 2 exons.
UAAUAUUAGUGUAUAUUUUUCCGUACACGGUAAUAGUAUUAGUCAUAACUUAUAAUUUACUAUAAAAUUUUGCAACACGCGUGCAAUGUACCUUAUGUGUACUAUAUGUGCAGCUGGUGUGAUUAUGUGGCAGCCAAUCGUUAGGCACAACUAUAUAAUAUAUCGCAGACAGACGAAAAGGUAAGCAAAUAUGAAUGGGUUUAAAAAUGUUUGCCAACGAAACACGAUUGUGCAGCAAACCUACACCGCGGAAAGUGGUGGCAUUACCUCGUGUUUUCAUUUAUGCAAGGUGUUCAAAACGCAUUUUCCUGCAACACUCGGUGCGAAAUCAGUGUAGUGGGAGAGAGAACAAAAACAACAGUGGUAGCGACGGCAGGUUUAAUGGACCACGGGGAAGGUGGCCUAGUCUCCAAUUAUAGUUAAAACUUAAAACCAAAGUGUGUAUGCUGUUUUAAUAUGAUUAUUAUUAAUAUUAUUGUUGUUGUUGUUGUUGUUAUGGUUAUUAUUACCACUAUUUUUAAUGAGACAGAUAGACAUAUACAAUAAAAAAGCCACGAGUAUAUAAUA